AUUGACCGCUGGCGGCAGGCCUAACACAUGCAAGUCGCGCGAGCGGCGGACGGGUGAGUAAUGUAUGGGGACUGCCCGAUAGAGGGGGAUAACUACUGGAAACGGUGGCUAAUACCGCAUACUAUCGGAUAACCCAUAUGGGAUUAGCUAGUAGGUGGGGUAACGGCUCACCAAGGCGACGAUAUCUAGCUGGUCUGAGAGGAUGACCAGCCACACUGGAACGUAGACACGGCACAGACUCCCAGGGAGGCAGCAGUGGGGAAUAUUGCACAAUGGGCGCAAGCCUGAUGCAGCCAUGACGCGUGUAUGAAGAAGGCCUUAGGGUUGUAAAGUACUUUCAGCGGGGAGGCGUUACCCGCAGAAGAAGCACCGGCUAACUCCGUGCCAGCAGCCGCGGUAAUUC
Molecule: ribosomal RNA, 403 nt
Filed under: uncultured bacterium
Lineage: Bacteria
Description: partial 16S ribosomal RNA
Rfam family: Bacterial small subunit ribosomal RNA
Source: RNAcentral